This 254-nucleotide ribosomal RNA is filed under the name uncultured prokaryote. Its description in RNAcentral is "partial 16S ribosomal RNA". It matches the Rfam family "Bacterial small subunit ribosomal RNA", at positions 521 to 775 of the family's 1533-position model. The record is from RNAcentral.
UAAUACGAAGGGGGCUAGCGUUGCUCGGAAUCACUGGCGUAAAGCGCACGUAGGCGGGUCCUUAAGUCGGGGGUGAAAUCCUGGAGCUCAACUCCAGAACUGCCUUCGAUACUGAGGAUCUCGAGUCCGGGAGAGGUGAGUGGAACUCCGAGUGUAGAGGUGAAAUUCGUAGAUAUUCGGAAGAACACCAGUGGCGAAGGCGGCUCACUGGCCCGGUACUGACGCUGAGGUGCGAAAGCGUGGGGAGCAAACAG